AACGAACGCUGGCGGCAGGCUUAACACAUGCAAGUCGAGCGCCCCGCAAGGGGAGCGGCAGACGGGUGAGUAACGCGUGGGAAUCUACCCAUCUCUACGGAAUAACGCAUGGAAACGUGUGCUAAUACCGUAUACGUCCUUCGGGAGAAAGAUUUAUCGGAGAUGGAUGAGCCCGCGUUGGAUUAGCUAGUUGGUGGGGUAAAGGCCUACCAAGGCGACGAUCCAUAGCUGGUCUGAGAGGAUGAUCAGCCACACUGGGACUGAGACACGGCCCAGACUCCUACGGGAGGCAGCAGUGGGGAAUAUUGGACAAUGGGCGCAAGCCUGAUCCAGCCAUGCCGCGUGAGUGAUGAAGGCCCUAGGGUUGUACAGCUCUUUCACCGGUGAAGAUAAUGACGGUAACCGGAGAAGAAGCCCCGGCUAACUUCGUGCCAGCCGCCGCAGUAA
Molecule: ribosomal RNA, 447 nt
Filed under: uncultured bacterium
Lineage: Bacteria
Description: partial 16S ribosomal RNA
Rfam family: Bacterial small subunit ribosomal RNA
Source: RNAcentral